UUAAGCGACUAAGCGUACACGGUGGAUGCCCUGGCAGUCAGAGGCGAUGAAGGACGUGCUAAUCUGCGAAAAGCGUCGGUAAGGUGAUAUGAACCGUUAUAACCGGCGAUGUCCGAAUGGGGAAACCCAGUGCAAUUCGUUGCACUAUCGUUAACUGAAUACAUAGGUUAACGAGGCGAACCGGGGGAACUGAAACAUCUAAGUACCCCGAGGAAAAGAAAUCAACCGAGAUUCCCCCAGUAGCGGCGAGCGAACGGGGAGCAGCCCAGAGUCUGAAUCAGCUUGUGUGUUAGUGGAACGGUCUGGAAAGUCCGACGGUACAGGGUGAUAGUCCCGUACACCAAAAUGCACAGGCUGUGAACUCGAAGAGUAGGGCGGGACACGUGGUAUCCUGUCUGAAUAUGGGGGGACCAUCCUCCAAGGCUAAAUACUCCUGACUGACCGAUAGUGAACCAGUACCGUGAGGGAAAGGCGAAAAGAACCCCGGCGAGGGGAGUGAAAAAGAACCUGAAACCGUGUACGUACAAGCAGUGGGAGCACCUUCGGGUGUGACUGCGUACCUUUUGUAUAAUGGGUCAGCGACUUAUAUUCUGUAGCAAGGUUAACCGUAUAGGGGAGCCGCAGGGAAACCGAGUCUUAACUGGGCGUUAAGUUGCAGGGUAUAGACCCGAAACCCGGUGAUCUAGCCAUGGGCAGGUUGAAGGUUGGGUAACACUAACUGGAGGACCGAACCGACUAAUGUUGAAAAAUUAGCGGAUGACUUGUGGCUGGGGGUGAAAGGCCAAUCAAACCGGGAGAUAGCUGGUUCUCCCCGAAAGCUAUUUAGGUAGCGCCUCGUGAAUUCAUCUUCGGGGGUAGAGCACUGUUUCGGCUAGGGGGUCAUCCCGACUUACCAACCCGAUGCAAACUACGAAUACCGAAGAAUGUUAUCACGGGAGACACACGGCGGGUGCUAACGUCCGUCGUGAAGAGGGAAACAACCCAGACCGCCAGCUAAGGUCCCAAAGUCAUGGUUAAGUGGGAAACGAUGUGGGAAGGCACAGACAGCCAGGAUGUUGGCUUAGAAGCAGCCAUCAUUUAAAGAAAGCGUAAUAGCUCACUGGUCGAGUCGGCCUGCGCGGAAGAUGUAACGGGGCUAAACCAUGCACCGAAGCUGCGGCAGCGACACUAUGUGUUGUUGGGUAGGGGAGCGUUCUGUAAGCCUGCGAAGGUGACCUGUGAGGGUUGCUGGAGGUAUCAGAAGUGCGAAUGCUGACAUAAGUAACGAUAAAGCGGGUGAAAAGCCCGCUCGCCGGAAGACCAAGGGUUCCUGUCCAACGUUAAUCGGGGCAGGGUGAGUCGACCCCUAAGGCGAGGCCGAAAGGCGUAGUCGAUGGGAAACAGGUUAAUAUUCCUGUACUUGGUGUUACUGCGAAGGGGGGACGGAGAAGGCUAUGUUAGCCGGGCGACGGUUGUCCCGGUUUAAGCAUGUAGGCUGAUUGUCCAGGCAAAUCCGGAUAAUCAAGGCUGAGGUGUGAUGACGAGGCACUACGGUGCUGAAGUAACAAAUGCCCUGCUUCCAGGAAAAGCCUCUAAGCAUCAGGUAACAUUAAAUCGUACCCCAAACCGACACAGGUGGUCAGGUAGAGAAUACCAAGGCGCUUGAGAGAACUCGGGUGAAGGAACUAGGCAAAAUGGUGCCGUAACUUCGGGAGAAGGCACGCUGGUGUGUAGGUGAAGCCCCUGCGGGUGGAGCUGAGACCAGUCGAAGAUACCAGCUGGCUGCAACUGUUUAUUAAAAACACAGCACUGUGCAAACACGAAAGUGGACGUAUACGGUGUGACGCCUGCCCGGUGCCGGAAGGUUAAUUGAUGGGGUUAUCCGUAAGGAGAAGCUCUUGAUCGAAGCCCCGGUAAACGGCGGCCGUAACUAUAACGGUCCUAAGGUAGCGAAAUUCCUUGUCGGGUAAGUUCCGACCUGCACGAAUGGCGUAAUGAUGGCCAGGCUGUCUCCACCCGAGACUCAGUGAAAUUGAACUCGCUGUGAAGAUGCAGUGUACCCGCGGCAAGACGGAAAGACCCCGUGAACCUUUACUAUAGCUUGACACUGAACAUUGAGCCUUGAUGUGUAGGAUAGGUGGGAGGCUUUGAAGCGUGGACGCCAGUCUGCGUGGAGCCAACCUUGAAAUACCACCCUUUAAUGUUUGAUGUUCUAACGUUGGCCCCUUACCGGGGUUGCGGACAGUGUCUGGUGGGUAGUUUGACUGGGGCGGUCUCCUCCCAAAGCGUAACGGAGGAGCACGAAGGUUAGCUAAUCCUGGUCGGACAUCAGGAGGUUAGUGCAAUGGCAUAAGCUAGCUUGACUGCGAGCGUGACGGCGCGAGCAGGUGCGAAAGCAGGUCAUAGUGAUCCGGUGGUUCUGAAUGGAAGGGCCAUCGCUCAACGGAUAAAAGGUACUCCGGGGAUAACAGGCUGAUACCGCCCAAGAGUUCAUAUCGACGGCGGUGUUUGGCACCUCGAUGUCGGCUCAUCACAUCCUGGGGCUGAAGUAGGUCCCAAGGGUAUGGCUGUUCGCCAUUUAAAGUGGUACGCGAGCUGGGUUUAGAACGUCGUGAGACAGUUCGGUCCCUAUCUGCCGUGGGCGCUGGAGAAUUGAGGGGGGCUGCUCCUAGUACGAGAGGACCGGAGUGGACGCAUCACUGGUGUUCGGGUUGUCAUGCCAAUGGCACUGCCCGGUAGCUAAAUGCGGAAGAGAUAAGUGCUGAAAGCAUCUAAGCACGAAACUUGCCCCGAGAUGAGUUCUCCCUGAGACUUUAAGUCUCCUGAAGGAACGUUAAAGACGAUGACGUUGAUAGGCCGGGUGUGUAAGCGCAGCGAUGCGUUGAGCUAACCGGUACUAAUGAACCGUGAGGCUUAACCUU
Molecule: ribosomal RNA, 2900 nt
Filed under: Klebsiella pneumoniae
Lineage: Bacteria; Pseudomonadati; Pseudomonadota; Gammaproteobacteria; Enterobacterales; Enterobacteriaceae
Description: bacterial LSU rRNA
Rfam family: Bacterial large subunit ribosomal RNA
Source: RNAcentral